Molecule: ribosomal RNA, 465 nt
Filed under: uncultured bacterium
Lineage: Bacteria
Description: partial 16S ribosomal RNA
Rfam family: Bacterial small subunit ribosomal RNA
Source: RNAcentral
CCUACGGGUGGCAGCAGUAGGGAAUCUUCCACAAUGGACGAAAGUCUGAUGGAGCAACGCCGCGUGAGUGAAGAAGGGUUUCGGCUCGUAAAGCUCUGUUGGUAGUGAAGAAAGAUAGAGGUAGUAACUGGCCUUUAUUUGACGGUAAUUACUUAGAAAGUCACGGCUAACUACGUGCCAGCAGCCGCGGUAAUACGUAGGUGGCAAGCGUUGUCCGGAUUUAUUGGGCGUAAAGCGAGUGCAGGCGGUUCAAUAAGUCUGAUGUGAAAGCCUUCGGCUCAACCGGAGAAUUGCAUCAGAAACUGUUGAACUUGAGUGCAGAAGAGGAGAGUGGAACUCCAUGUGUAGCGGUGGAAUGCAUAGAUAUAAGGAAGAACACCAGUGGCGAAGGCGGAUUACUGGACGAUAACUGACGGUGAGGCGCGAAAGCGUGGGGAGCAAACAGGAUUAGAUACCCUUGUAGUC